RNAcentral lists this ribosomal RNA (253 nucleotides) under uncultured bacterium. RNAcentral's name for it is "partial 16S ribosomal RNA". It matches the Rfam family "Bacterial small subunit ribosomal RNA", at positions 524 to 776 of the family's 1533-position model. The record is from RNAcentral.
UACGUAGGUGGCAAGCGUUAUCCGGAUUUAUUGGGCGUAAAGAGAACGCAGGCGGUCUUUUAAGUCUGAUGUGAAAGCCUUCGGCUUAACCGGAGUAGUGCAUUGGAAACUGGGAGACUUGAGUGCAGAAGAGGAGAGUGGAACUCCAUGUGUAGCGGUGGAAUGCGUAGAUAUAUGGAAGAACACCAGUGGCGAAGGCGGCUCUCUGGUCUGCAACUGACGCUGAGGCUCGAAAGCAUGGGUAGCGAACAGG